RNAcentral lists this ribosomal RNA (460 nucleotides) under uncultured bacterium. RNAcentral describes it as "partial 16S ribosomal RNA". It matches the Rfam family "Bacterial small subunit ribosomal RNA", at positions 338 to 795 of the family's 1533-position model. The record is from RNAcentral.
CCUACGGGUGGCUGCAGUGAGGAAUAUUGGUCAAUGGGCUUACGCCUGAACCAGCCAAGUCGCGUGAGGGAAGACUGCCCUAUGGGUUGUAAACCUCUUUUGUCAGGGAGCAACGCCGGCUACGUGUAGCCGGACUGAGAGUACCUGAAGAAAAAGCAUCGGCUAACUCCGUGCCAGCAGCCGCGGUAAUACGGAGGAUGCGAGCGUUAUCCGGAUUUAUUGGGUUUAAAGGGUGCGUAGGCGGAAUGCCAAGUCAGCGGUAAAAUCGCGGGGCUCAACCUCGCUCCGCCGUUGAAACUGUUCUUCUUGAGUGAUGGAGAGGCAGGCGGAAUUCCUAGUGUAGCGGUGAAAUGCGUAGAUAUUAGGAGGAACACCAGUGGCGAAGGCGGCCUGCUGGACAUUAACUGACGCUGAGGCGCGAAAGCGUGGGGAGCAAACAGGAUUAGAUACCCCUGUAGUC